This 554-nucleotide ribosomal RNA is filed under the name uncultured bacterium. Its description in RNAcentral is "partial 16S ribosomal RNA". It matches the Rfam family "Bacterial small subunit ribosomal RNA", at positions 355 to 900 of the family's 1533-position model. The record is from RNAcentral.
UAGGGAAUCUUCCACAAUGGACGCAAGUCUGAUGGAGCAACGCCGCGUGAGUGAAGAAGGUCUUCGGAUCGUAAAGCUCUGUUGUUGGUGAAGAAGGAUAGAGGCAGUAACUGGUCUUUAUUUGACGGUAAUCAACCAGAAAGUCACGGCUAACUACGUGCCAGCAGCCGCGGUAAUACGUAGGUGGCAAGCGUUGUCCGGAUUUAUUGGGCGUAAAGCGAGCGCAGGCGGAAUGAUAAGUCUGAUGUGAAAGCCCACGGCUCAACCGUGGAACUGCAUCGGAAACUGUCAUUCUUGAGUGCAGAAGAGGAGAGUGGAACUCCAUGUGUAGCGGUGGAAUGCGUAGAUAUAUGGAAGAACACCAGUGGCGAAGGCGGCUCUCUGGUCUGUAACUGACGCUGAGGCUCGAAAGCAUGGGUAGCGAACAGGAUUAGAUACCCUGGUAGUCCAUGCCGUAAACGAUGAGCGCUAGGUGUUGGGGACUUUCCGGUCCUCAGUGCCGCAGCAAACGCAUUAAGCGCUCCGCCUGGGGAGUACGACCGCAAGGUUGAAAC